RNA transcript from Helianthus annuus (common sunflower), 2760 nucleotides. It is a transcript of the gene named rho GTPase-activating protein 1-like, with no coding region annotated. The transcript is spliced from 6 exons. The record is from RefSeq and is a predicted model, not a curated record. Lineage: Eukaryota; Viridiplantae; Streptophyta; Magnoliopsida; Asterales; Asteraceae.
ACCUCCGGCCACACUGUAUCGCCUGAAUGAGGGUUCUACAUUUCCGGCAAGGCUAGGGUUCCAGCGAUUGUCAGGGGUUUUGUGCGGAUGAAUCCCGCGACAAGGUACCCUUGUAUCUUUUUAACUCUCUCCGAUCUGUUUAUUCCGCUCCUCCGACUAAUCUCAAGGUUAAUAUUUAUCUGUGUGUUUAUAUUUCUUAUUGACCUAAUUUUGACUUACGUUUUUGUUGUUUAUAUCUGAUCUAGAUUAUAGAUCUGUAUGUCGUGUUUGCUGUCUUCACUGCCCUAAUUCAGGUAUUAGAUCUAUACGAAUCACUUUUGAUUAAUAAUUUACGGUUGAUUGAAUAGUUAUUGUGGUUAUUUAUUUGGAUCUAAGAUCAGAUUAUGUUAUUGUUGUUAUAUAUAUAGUAUUUGAAUUUUCUUGUUUAUUUUGUUGACUGACUUUGAAAGUUCUUCUAAUUCCAUGGAUUAAACUUUAGUAACUAGAUAUAGACUGUAAUUAUGUUUUAGUGUUCUCAAGUAGCUAAUAUGUAUGAAACUUCAUCUAUGUUGUUGCAUUUGAAAUUCAGAAUUUGAGUUAUAGUCUUGGUUUAGCGCACAAAAGCGACAAGGUCUAAAACUGUCUCAACGAGCACAAAAGCGCAACGUUUAUUUAAAUGUCAGCUUGAUUAGUUCUAGGCUUAACAUUGACAUUUACUGUAAACUCCAUGAGAAAAAAAGAGUCAUUUUUAUAAUAGUAUGUUAGAUUAAUUAAGCAUUAUCAAAAUUGUGCCCACAAGGUGUUUGAUAUAAUGUCCGAAUGAAAGAAUUGUGAUCAAAUGAGCAUGAGACCACCACCUGAUCCAAUAGCUGUACUGAGAGGUCAUCGUGUUUCUGUUAUGGAUGUUUGUUUUCAUCCUUCUCAGAAUUUGGUGUUCUCAAGGUAAAUAUAUUAAUCAUGCUUUGAAGCAUUGUUAAAUUAUGUCGCAAUUUAUAAUCCAAACUAUUUUACGUAUAUUAAUUUUCUAAUUUCCUUUUUUCUCUUGUUUUCCCAUUGGGUUGAUGGUUAUUUUGGCUUCAUGUUGGGCUAGCUUUGUUGGUCAAAGUUGUCAAGGCUUUAUUCUAAGUCAAAGAUUACGCUAAUUACCGAAAAAUGAGGUUAAAUUUUAGAAUAUGUAUUUAUACUGUAUAAUUAGAGGGAUCCGCAUUAUCUACAUUAAGUUUUGUUCAUUAAUUAGCAGAGUUAUAGCAUGGUUUCACCAAUCUAUAUGUUAACACACCAAUCUAACAUCAGUGAGAAGACGAGAGCCAUGCUAAUGGACUGCCUUAUUGAGGUACCGUCAAAGACCUUUUUUUUAAUAACUACUAACAAAAAAUUUGAAAAUAACCAGGUGCACUAGAAAAAAGUUGCAACUGGUUGGUAUUGGUGGCGUUGGGUGGUGACUUGGUUCUGGUGGUGAAUGGCUACAACGCUGGAUUGAACACCGACGGAGCUUGAAAGUGAUUUUUUAAUUUAACUUGGUUUCAUCAGUUAUUCAUCAAUCGAAGUUAGCGGUUAGGGAAGAUCAAACGUAUUCCAGAGUCUACGUUUUUGUGUUAUAUGAAUCUGAUCUAAUGCCUUUUCUCGAACAAAAUCGUUAUACUCCGGUCAAGCCAUUGACCGGGUCGGCUGCUGUCUCUCACUUCUUUUAAGAACGAGGUGUUGACUGCUAACUGUUUGCGAAAACAUGCCAACGGGAACUUGAAAUUUUUGAGUCUUGAACGACAGGAAAUUGUUGUUCGCUUGGGCUGCUGCUCGACAGGGCCAUGGGAUGUUGUUACAGAGGCAAGAUUCGUUCAAGCACAAGUUUGGAACCUUAGAUGAUCAUAAUACCUGCUGAUGAUUUAACAGAUCCAGCUCCCGCCACUACUUUUGCUCACUUGGAUGCUACCACCGUGUUAUCCCGACAGGGAGUUUUGGAUGGAAAGUACGAUGAUCUACCCGAGCAAUCGUUUUACAUGGUUGGUGGAAUCGAUGAGGUUAUUAUUAAGGCCGAGAAGAUUGCGAAGGAUAACGCUUAGAACCCUCUUUCGCUCUUCAGAAAAUGAAUAAUAAUUUGUUGAUUUUGGUGGUGGGUGUUUGCCAUCAACCUGAUGGCUGAUGUCGUCCAAUACGAGCAUCUCAACAAGAUGAAUUCACACAAUAUUGCAAUGGUUUUUGCCCCGAAUAUGACCCAGAUGGCGGAUCCGUUGACUGCAUUGAUGUACGCAGUUCAAGUAAUGAACUUUCUGAAGACGCUCAUCACAAAAACUCUUCGUGAACGAGAGGAUGCUGUUAUAGAAUCAUCUCGUGGCCCACCACAAGAACCACCGUUAGAUAAAAACGGUGAUCAGGGGCCGAGAUUAAGCCCACAUGUGCAACAAAACCAUGAUGAAAAUGAAGAGAAAGAACAUGAAUUCGCCACUUACGAUGAUAUAUAUUUACCGUUAUAUCAAUUUGUAGACGUUAGCUGCCUAUAGUGGAUUUUGCACCCUUAGGGUGGAAAGGGCGCCUACGGGUAGCGCGUUGCGGGAUGCAACCUGCAACGGUUACCCCCUUUCGGGUUCAAUUUUGCAAUCGGUCACUAGUAGGAUAAGUCGCUGAAAGAGGUGGGGUCCCCUCUUCUUUAUUCAUGCAACGAGAGAAGACGUAAUGGACUACUUUCUCUAGCAGAGUCAAAGCAGCCUAAAGGGGUUUUAUGGGUGAAACAUAGACGAGUAUAAUGAUGUAAAUAAUCGACUCCUCCGCAACCCGCGAGUUUCC